Molecule: ribosomal RNA, 448 nt
Filed under: uncultured bacterium
Lineage: Bacteria
Description: bacterial SSU rRNA
Rfam family: Bacterial small subunit ribosomal RNA
Source: RNAcentral
UCGGGAAUUUUGGGCAAUGGGCGAAAGCCUGACCCAGCAACGCCGCGUGAAGGAUGAAGUAUUUCGGUAUGUAAACUUCGUAAGAAUAGGAAGAAUAAAUGACGGUACUAUUUGUAAGGUCCGGCUAACUACGUGCCAGCAGCCGCGGUAAUACGUAGGGACCAAGCGUUGUUCGGAUUUACUGGGCGUAAAGGGCGCGUAGGCGGCAUGACAAGUCACUUGUGAAAUCUCUGGGCUUAACCCAGAACGGCCAAGUGAUACUGUCGCGCUAGAGUGCAGAAGGGGCAAUCGGAAUUCUUGGUGUAGCGGUGAAAUGUGUAGAUAUCAAGAGGAACACCUGAGGUGAAGACGGGUUGCUGGGCUGACACUGACGCUGAGGCGCGAAAGCCAGGGGAGCAAACGGGGAUUAGAUACCCUAGUAGUCCCUGAGCGGGCUGGCAAGGCGCAU